RNAcentral lists this long non-coding RNA (1963 nucleotides) under Ananas comosus (pineapple). RNAcentral's name for it is "long non-coding RNA (ACOM_LNC001635)". Lineage: Eukaryota; Viridiplantae; Streptophyta; Magnoliopsida; Poales; Bromeliaceae. The record is from RNAcentral.
AAAAAAAAUGUUUUUAUUAAAAACACUCUUUUUCAUAAUUUUAAUUUUUAAAUUAAUAAUAAUAAUAAUAAUUUUUUAUAAAAUUGAAAAAAAAGAAAACAUACUUUCCCUAUAAAUAAAAUAUAUGCGAUAAUUACUUCUACAUUCAAAAAAUUAUUUUAUAAAAUAAUUUUCGAAAAAUCAAGCAUUUCUUUUAUUUCACCAUCGUGAAAGGAUAAUUAAUCUAAAGACGUGUUUGGUUCGAAGUCCGAAUCGGAAUCGAAAUCGGAAUCAAAAUAACCUGGAAUCGGAAUGGAAUUACUCAUUACCUAAUUCUGUUUGGUUCAUCAUCUGAAUCGAAAUCGGAAUAAAUCAUUCUCAUUGUAGGUGUUUUAUUCAGGUGGAUAUAAAAAAUAUAAUCAAAUUAAUAUACUAACAUUAUCUUUAUAAUAUAUUAAUUUAAAUUCAAAUUAAAAAUUAAAUAUUAAAAAAUUACAUCAAAAUUUUCAAAUAAUGUCAAAAUUUUAAAUCUAUUUUUUAAAAAAAAAUUAAACUUUGAAGUUGAGUGGAUAAUUCAAAAUAUGAAACUAAAUUUUGAUUUAUUCAAAUUCAAAUUUAAAAUUACAAUUUAAAUUUUAAUUUGAAUCCAUAAAUUUAAUUUAAGUUUGAAAUAAAAUUUGAAUAAAACUUUAUAUAAAUUAAAAUUUAAUUUAAAUUCAAAUUCAUAAGUUAGAUUUGAAAUACUUGAUUAAAUUUUAAUUUUUAAUUUAAGUUUAAAUUAAAAUUUAAAAUUAUAUAUUUAAUUUUUAAAUUGUAACUCAUAUUUUAUUUAAAAAAGCUGAAAAAAUAAAUUUAAUUAAAACAAAUAUCCAUUCCGUCCGGAUUCAACUUUCAAUCCGACCUUCUAGGCCGAAUUGAAAAAAGGGGUGAUUGGGGAAUUCCAUUCCACUCGGGAAUCGGAAGCGGAAUGGGACUCCCGCGUACCAAAUACCCACAAACGGAUUUACCCAUUCCGAUUCCGAUUCCGAUUCCAAUGUAAAAAAGAAGCGAACCAAACAUGCCCUAAGGGUUAAUUGCAUACAUCUGAAUGUAAACAUAUUGAAUAACAAAUAUAUCCUUACAAAGUUCAAUCAUAUGUCAUAUGUCAAAUUCUAAUAUUUUCAAAUAUGUCUCUACCGUUAAAAUCCGUUAGAAAAUUUUAAUUAACCAUAUGUCAAAUACUUAACUUUGGUUAAUUUAUGAGAUAACUUGAUAUUUUUGUCCUUCUUAUAUUAUACUGUUGUACCUUUUUGAGUGACAUAUUUGUGGUGGCAAAAUUAUCAUUUGAUUUAAAAUAUAAAACAGUAUUAUAAUGAUAACAAAACAGAGAAAUAUAUAUAAAAAUAUUAAAAUUUUUUUAAAAAUAAUAUAUAAAAAUUGAAUUUUAUAGAAAAAUAUUUCUUAUUCUGACAUAAUGCAUUUAACCUUUUUUUUAUUUUUUAUUAUCUAUUAACUUAUAUGAAUCCACGAUGUUUUUUGUCAUGUGGCAAGUUGUUCUUCACCCUCACCAUUAUUUAACCCUUUCUAUUCCCUUCAUCAAACUUUUAUAAUUAAUACAUUUAAUUAAUACAUCUAAACGUUAUCAUUACCAAACUUUCAAUAACAAGUUGUCCUUCACGCAUUUGACCUUUUCCUUUUCCUUUAUAAAAUUUUCAAUUAAUAUAUGUAAUUAAUACAUCUAAACAUUUUCAGUAGCAAACUUUUCCUCCAACAGAUUUUUCAUCUCCAGUUAAUUCACUAAUUCUCUCUCCUCAUCUUUUUUCAUACACCGUCGCCUUCCUCCCUCCCUCCCUCCCUCCCUCCUUCUCUAGCUAAUACGCGCCCAUAUCCCCCCUCUGCUGCGGCUGAAGGGAUCGACGUCAUUUUCACUAUCAUCAUUACCGGAGAAGGAGUCGUCGAUUCUAUCUCUGCUACUAAUAGCAAGUGACCUUUUGUGACUGUGGUA